Molecule: ribosomal RNA, 459 nt
Filed under: uncultured bacterium
Lineage: Bacteria
Description: partial 16S ribosomal RNA
Rfam family: Bacterial small subunit ribosomal RNA
Source: RNAcentral
CCUACGGGAGGCAGCAGUGAGGAAUAUUGGUCAAUGGGCGCGAGCCUGAACCAGCCAAGUCGCGUGAGGGAAGACGGUCCUAUGGAUUGUAAACCUCUUUUGUCGGGGAGCAAAAGCCGCCACGCGUGGCGUUCCGAGAGUACCCGAAGAAAAAGCAUCGGCUAACUCCGUGCCAGCAGCCGCGGUAAUACGGAGGAUGCGAGCGUUUUCCGGAUUUAUUGGGUUUAAAGGGUGCGCAGGGGGAAGAUCAAGUCAGCGGUAAAAGUGCGGGGCUCAACCUCUUAGAGCCGUUGAAACUGGUGUUCUUGAGUGAGCGAGAGGUAUGCGGAAUGCGUGGUGUAGCGGUGAAAUGCAUAGAUAUCACGCAGAACUCCGAUUGCGAAGGCAGCAUACCGGCGCUCAACUGACGCUGAGGCACGAAAGUGUGGGUAUCGAACAGGAUUAGAUACCCGUGUAGUC